AGUGAACGCUGGCGGUAGGCCUAACACAUGCAAGUCGAACGGUAGCACAGUAAGCGCUUGCUCUUACGGGUGGCGGGUGGCGGCCGGGUGAGGACUACAUCGGAAUCUACUUUUUCGUGGGGGAUAACGUAGGGAAACUUACGCUAAUACCGCAUACGACCUACGGGUGAAAGCAUGGGAUCUUCGGACCUUGUGCGUCUGAAUGGGCCGAUGUCGGAUUCGCUAGUUGGCGGGGUAAAGGCCCACCAAGGCGACGAUGCGUAGCUGGUCUGAGAGGAUGAUGAGCCACACUGGAACUGAUACACGGUCCAGACGCCUACGGGAGGCAGCAGUGGGGAAUAUUGGACAAUGGGGGCAAGCCUGAUCCAGCCAUACCGCGUGGGUAAAGAAGGCCUUCGGGUGGUAAAGCCCUUUUUUUGGGAGAGAAAAGCGGCAGGUUAAUACCCCGCUGUUCUGACGGUACCCGAAGAAUAAGCACCGGCUAACUUCGUG
RNAcentral lists this ribosomal RNA (492 nucleotides) under uncultured bacterium. Its description in RNAcentral is "partial 16S ribosomal RNA". It matches the Rfam family "Bacterial small subunit ribosomal RNA", at positions 29 to 507 of the family's 1533-position model. The record is from RNAcentral.